UUAGUCUGGUUCCUCUUCAGAUUUGCUUUUACCAAAGAUUUCUGUGAAGAGGAACUUUUGUGAGUUUUAUACCAAUUUUUGGAGGCCCGGCUUUGGUAGGGCU
RNAcentral lists this small nuclear RNA (103 nucleotides) under Naja naja (Indian cobra). RNAcentral's name for it is "U5 spliceosomal RNA (ENSNNAG00000010381.1)". It matches the Rfam family "U5 spliceosomal RNA". Rfam says of the family: U5 RNA is a component of both types of known spliceosome. The precise function of this molecule is unknown, though it is known that the 5' loop is required for splice site selection and p220 binding, and that both the 3' stem-loop and the Sm site are important for Sm protein binding and cap methylation. Lineage: Eukaryota; Metazoa; Chordata; Lepidosauria; Squamata; Elapidae. The record is from Rfam by way of RNAcentral.